GGCCUCGAAGCUCAAAUGGAUGAGCGUCUCGUUGCGGACGAGAAGGCUGAUGGUUCGAGUCCAUCCGGGGCCG
Molecule: transfer RNA, 73 nt
Filed under: Phycisphaerae bacterium
Lineage: Bacteria; Pseudomonadati; Planctomycetota; Phycisphaerae
Also listed under: 1 other name
Description: tRNA-Arg
Rfam family: tRNA
About the family: Transfer RNA (tRNA) molecules are approximately 80 nucleotides in length. Their secondary structure includes four short double-helical elements and three loops (D, anti-codon, and T loops). Further hydrogen bonds mediate the characteristic L-shaped molecular structure. tRNAs have two regions of fundamental functional importance: the anti-codon, which is responsible for specific mRNA codon recognition, and the 3' end, to which the tRNAs corresponding amino acid is attached (by aminoacyl-tRNA synthetases). tRNAs cope with the degeneracy of the genetic code in two manners: having more than one tRNA (with a specific anti-codon) for a particular amino acid; and 'wobble' base-pairing, i.e. permitting non-standard base-pairing at the 3rd anti-codon position.
Source: RNAcentral